GGCAGUGUAGCUUAAUGGUAGAGCACCCGCCUUUCACGCGGAAGACAACCGUUCGAUUCGGUUCGCUGCCC
Molecule: transfer RNA, 71 nt
Filed under: Nostoc sp. FACHB-973
Lineage: Bacteria; Bacillati; Cyanobacteriota; Cyanophyceae; Nostocales; Nostocaceae
Description: tRNA-Glu
Rfam family: tRNA
About the family: Transfer RNA (tRNA) molecules are approximately 80 nucleotides in length. Their secondary structure includes four short double-helical elements and three loops (D, anti-codon, and T loops). Further hydrogen bonds mediate the characteristic L-shaped molecular structure. tRNAs have two regions of fundamental functional importance: the anti-codon, which is responsible for specific mRNA codon recognition, and the 3' end, to which the tRNAs corresponding amino acid is attached (by aminoacyl-tRNA synthetases). tRNAs cope with the degeneracy of the genetic code in two manners: having more than one tRNA (with a specific anti-codon) for a particular amino acid; and 'wobble' base-pairing, i.e. permitting non-standard base-pairing at the 3rd anti-codon position.
Source: RNAcentral